GACGAACGCUGGCGGCGUGCUUAACACAUGCAAGUCGAACGGAAAGGCCCCCUUGUGGGGUACUCGAGUGGCGAACGGGUGAGUAACACGUGAGUAACCUACCCUUGACUUUGGGAUAACUUCAGGAAACUGGGGCUAAUACCGGAUAGGAGCUCCUGCUGCAUGGUGGGGGUUGGAAAGUUUCGGCGGUUGGGGAUGGGCUCGCAGCUUAUCAGCUUGUUGGUGGGGUAGUGGCUCACCAAGGCUUUGACGGGUAGCCGGCCUGAGAGGGUGACCGGCCACAUUGGGACUGAGAUACGGCCCAGACUCCUACGGGAGGCAGCAGUGGGGAAUAUUGCACAAUGGGCGGAAGCCUGAUGCAGCAACGCCGCGUGCGGGAUGACGGCCUUCGGGUUGUAAACCGCUUUCGCCUGUGACGAAGCGUGAGUGACGGUAAUGGGUAAAGAAGCACCGGCUAACUACGUG
This 465-nucleotide ribosomal RNA is filed under the name uncultured bacterium. RNAcentral describes it as "partial 16S ribosomal RNA". It matches the Rfam family "Bacterial small subunit ribosomal RNA", at positions 28 to 507 of the family's 1533-position model. The record is from RNAcentral.